Molecule: ribosomal RNA, 400 nt
Filed under: uncultured bacterium
Lineage: Bacteria
Description: bacterial SSU rRNA
Rfam family: Bacterial small subunit ribosomal RNA
Source: RNAcentral
GGGGAAUAUUGCACAAUGGGGGAAACCCUGAUGCAGCAACGCCGCGUGAGUGAUGAAGGUCUUCGGAUCGUAAAGCUCUGUCUUCAGGGACGAUAAUGACGGUACCUGAGGAGGAAGCCACGGCUAACUACGUGCCAGCAGCCGCGGUAAUACGUAGGUGGCGAGCGUUGUCCGGAUUUACUGGGCGUAAAGGGAGCGUAGGCGGAUUUUUAAGUGAGAUGUGAAAUACCCGGGCUCAACUUGGGUGCUGCAUUUCAAACUGGAAGUCUAGAGUGCAGGAGAGGAGAGUGGAAUUCCUAGUGUAGCGGUGAAAUGCGUAGAGAUUAGGAAGAACACCAGUGGCGAAGGCGACUCUCUGGACUGUAACUGACGCUGAGGCUCGAAAGCGUGGGGAGCAAAC